GUGGCUCAGUUGGCAGAGCUUUGGACUGUAGAUCGGUCCAUCCAGGGUUUGAAACCCUGUCACA
Nephila pilipes (giant wood spider) is the source of this 64-nucleotide non-coding RNA. The record is from the annotation of a GenBank genome assembly. NCBI's taxonomy places the organism in Eukaryota, Metazoa, Arthropoda, Arachnida, Araneae, Nephilidae.